RNAcentral lists this ribosomal RNA (506 nucleotides) under uncultured bacterium. RNAcentral describes it as "partial 16S ribosomal RNA". It matches the Rfam family "Bacterial small subunit ribosomal RNA", at positions 30 to 523 of the family's 1533-position model. The record is from RNAcentral.
AUUGAACGCUGGCGGCAUGCCUUACACAUGCAAGUCGAACGGCAGCAUGGAAGAGCUUGCUCUUCUGAUGGCGAGUGGCGAACGGGUGAGUAAAGCAUCGGAACGUACCGUGUAGUGGGGGAUAACGUAGCGAAAGUUACGCUAAUACCGCAUACGCACUGAGGUGGAAAGCAGGGGAUCGCAAGACCUUGCGCUAUACGAGCGGCCGAUGUCAGAUUAGCUAGUUGGUAGGGUAAAGGCCUACCAAGGCGACGAUCUGUAGCGGGUCUGAGGGGAUGAUCCGCCACGCUGGGACUGAGACACGGCCCAGACUCCUACGGGAGGCAGCAGUGGGGAAUUUUGGACAAUGGGCGAAAGCCUGAUUCAGCCAUGCCGCGUGAGUGAAGAAGGCCUUCGGGUUGUAAAGCUCUUUCGGCUGGGAAGAAAUCGCACAGGCUAAUACUCUGUGUGGAUGACGGUACCAGCACAAGAAGCACCGGCUAACUACGUGCCAGCAGCCGCGGUAA